RNAcentral lists this ribosomal RNA (374 nucleotides) under uncultured organism. RNAcentral's name for it is "partial 16S ribosomal RNA". It matches the Rfam family "Bacterial small subunit ribosomal RNA", at positions 527 to 896 of the family's 1533-position model. The record is from RNAcentral.
UUAGGUGGCAAGCGUUGUCCGGAAUUAUUGGGCGUAAAGCGCGCGCAGGUGGUUCUUUAAGUCUGAUGUGAAAGCCCCCGGCUCAACCGGGGAGGGUCAUUGGAAACUGGGGAACUUGAGUGCAGGAGAGGAAAGUGGAAUUCCACGUGUAGCGGUGAAAUGCGUAGAUAUGUGGAGGAACACCAGUGGCGAAGGCGACUUUCUGGCCUGUAACUGACACUGAGGCGCGAAAGCGUGGGGAGCAAACAGGGAUUAGAUACCCUGGUAGUCCACGCCGUAAACGAUGAGUGCUAAGUGUUGGGGGGGUUUCCCGCCCCUCAGUGCUGCAGCUAACGCAUUAAGCACUCCGCCUGGGGAGUACGGUCGCAAGACUG